CACGACACUACGCACAAAGAAAGGGGCGCGUUCAACUGGUACAUCCAAAUAACACAGCCCCGAGUCUCCAGAAAUGAGAUAAUUGUCAGGUUUGCUGUCAUUAAAGCUUUGUGCAAGCAUUUGCGGAAGGUUCAGGACUUGCGAGGACAUGUCUUCAUCUCAACAUGCGGGAAAAAUAUCUUGCGCCGGAUGAUGAAGCUCAGGGAAGUUAUUAUGAAGAUCAUGUAACACAGAUUGCCUGAGACCAAGCUGGAGGUUUGCUGUCAUAGGGUACAGGAGUUCGGACUGUCGAGGAAGAUGCUACAUCUUCCUGUUGCUCUUCGCCAUCGUCUCUCUCCCCCUGUUGGGUGACACCGCCUUGGCCCACCCAAGUAGGAACCUCCAGAUCCGGCUGAGAGGAGAAAGGCUUCUCCAGAACUUUGAGGACUCUCCGAACCUGAAAAACAGUGUAACUUUCGUUUGUAUUCCUCACCUGUCUGCAACACAAACCUGGCACCACUUGAACUAAGAUUAAUUUAUAAUCUUGGUCUCAUCAGACCACAGGUCACUGUUCCAGUAAUUUAUCAUAUCUUCAAUUAUAAUAAUCAUGAUCACAAACAUAGUUGAUCAUACCUCUGAAAAGUCUCCGCUCUCAGCAGCCUCUAUUGCAUUCUGGGCAAUGUAGUUCCGGAGCACCACACGUGGGUUGGUGCUAUCCAUAACCCUUACCCUCUUCUCUUGCACAACCUGCACGUCACUGUUGCCCUCCAGUUCUUGAGCCAGACGCUUCCUGUCAUGGUGAUACCGAAAGAGACGUCUAAGAACAGUAACGGAACACCCAUCAGCCCAUUUCCUGUUUUAACUGUUACUCCCUCCCCACUUUAUCAGUGACACUUUGACAUCUCUCUCAUCCGGGCCUUGUGGUUUAACCACCUCAAGUUCGUUUUACAAGCAACUGUUGCUUUUUCGUGACUGCCUCCAGACACGAGUCCAAUCACAGUGUCCACUUCUCCACUGGCAUCCCACCUAUAGCGUGUGAUCCAGCAGGUCCACUCCUCAGUCUGUUUGGUUUUGACUUCUUCCUCGUCGGUCUCCAUCAGUUCCUUUAAUUUGCUGAGUCGGUUGAGCUGCCUCGCUAUUGUCAUUCUGUCUGAAAUCAUCUGGAACAGCGCUGGGUUGCUCUGUGCCAUGGAAAGUAGCAUCGUCAACUCCCUGGUGAAGGCAGGCAGAGCAUACAAAUAGCCAGUGCUUGGUACAUAGAAUGAACACAGAAUUGGAACAUGACUUGGAGGCACUUGUACUCUUCUGGGAGGAUUUUCCAAAAGAUCCUGGAUUAAUGGGGCUCGUUUCAUUUCAACUGCCCUUCAUUUACUUGCUUGGUUUGACCUCUAUAGUGUGUUGUGAAAUAAUGAACAAGCGGAAAUGUGUGCUCGACCAGGUUAUCAUAGAAAAUGUGUGUGUGUGUGGGGGGGGGGGACUUUUAUAGCAAAUGAAGAUUAUCUCUAUGGAGCAUGAUCACAUGCUCUAUGCUGCGUAAACACAGUCACUCCAGGAAAUCUGAUAACAAAUAAAAAAGUAUUACAUUACUGAAUACAGUAAAACAUUUCUUUGGAAAUACAAUCCAGAUUACCACUAAAUUGCAAUGUUGUAUAAAACGUACGUAAUUGAAAUAAAAUAGAAUGAUAUCCAAAUCCUUUCCGAUGAAAAUUCGCUUCAGUGAACAAAAUAUUUAAUUUUCAAAUGAAGGCUUUUUUUCCUAUUCUCUCAUUUUUAAUUUGAGGCCUGCAAAAUGUGGUAAAUAUGCCCCUGGACCAGCUUUUUUCGCAACAGUGUACAGGCAUUAAAUAAAAAAAUAAAAAAAAAACAUAUUACAAAAGGUCCCAACUUGACGGGAGGAGUUUGUAGUUAAAGUGUGUCUUAAAAAAGCCAGACACCACAUCAUCCAGUUAAUGUUCAGGCUGCAGUAUCUCACCGUGGGUCCAUGGUGGGUUUAUUGGCAUCUUUGAGCUCCUCCAAAGAGGCACACUGCUCCAUCAACAGUUUUACAGAUUCUUUGACAAGCUCCGCUUCUGUGUCACUUUCUCCCUCGGAGGGACAGGAAAUCCGACUUAGACUGCGGAACGUAUUGGUGAAGUCAGCCCCUGCACAAUAACAGCCCACAAGUUAAAAUGAGAAAAUCUAAGUUAAAAAAUAAAUAAAUACAUAUAUAUAUUAUUUUUUUUUCUCUCUCUUCUCUUCAGCUUUCUAUCUCGGCCCUAACAUCAAUUACCCAUGAGCAGCCAACUAAGAGCCAAUAUAAGAGCUGCACAAUUGACCACUAAGGUCUUACCUGUAUUGUGCAUGGUUUGCAGCAGUUCUGUGAUGAGGAUCUCGUCCUCGGGUUCCUCUUUAUUCAACAAACCCAGCUUCUUCCUCAUAUUAUCAAGGUAGUAUCUGUUAUACAAAUCCAAAUAUUCCUCCAUAACAGCCUUUGCCCGGUCAGGUGGAAGCUCUGGAUCGAGAGCUUCAGCAAACUUGACAAGAUUCCAGCGGCAAAUAGCUGGCUGAGCCUGGUAAGAGUAGCGUCCAGAGUUGUCGGAAGCGUUGCAAAUGAAGUCUGGAUCAAACCUGGGGUGAAUUAAACAUGAAGAAGCAUGAACAUAAAGAAGGAGAAAAUGCAAAGCUCCUGUAUUCCAUAGCAAUCUCACCUAUCCAUGAAGCCAUAGGGACCAUAGUCCAGUGUGAGUCCCAGUAUGCUCAUGUUGUCUGUGUUCAGGACACCAUGACAAAAUCCUACACAUUGCCACUGAGCCACCAGUCGAGCUGUUCGAUGCAUCACCUUCAAACAAGAAGUCAUGAAAGGUGACAUGGGAUGAAAUGCUCUUUUUCUGACAUUAACAAAACAUGUUAGCAUCUUUGUCUAAGACAGGCCACGUGAUUUUGGAAAGCAUAUUUGAUACAAUAUUUAAACAUUCUCAUCAGAUUUGGCUUUCACUUUUUACAGCUAAUUUGCAAAAUAAUUUGACUCGCCACUAAUUCAUGCAGAGCAUCCAAGGCUACAUAAAGCUUGCCAAGUGCACAACUUUGAAGCAGGAUUGAUCAAAAAAUAUUUUUUAGACUAUUGAAAAAUAUACUUUAAUUCAUAAAAAUUUAAUUUUGAUAUUAAAAUUAAUUUAAAAAAAAUUAAACAAAUUAAUGCAUUCAAACGUCAUCCUAUGUACAUGCUUUAAAAGCAAGUACAGUGAACCACUACAUUUGUACUUUGUCAUUUUCUAAAUUUGCAUAUUCAAAAAUUAGCUCCUCUGUUUUUACCUAAUUCUUUUGAUGGUGAUGACUUUGGCACCAUCUGCUGGUUAUUUUUACUAAACAGUCUUGCUUUGAAUAUUUCUUCGAUUCCCUCAGCUAAAGAGAGAAACUCAGUGACUAAGCACAUGCUGUCACCGUGUCAUUUAUUACACUACCGUUCAAAAGUUUGGGGUCACCCAGAGAAUUUUGUGUUUUUCAUGAAAACUAACAUGAUUGCACAAGGGUUUUCUAAUCAUCCAUUAGCCUUCUAACACAAUUAUCAAAAGCAAUGGACCAUUAGAACACUGGAGGGAUGGUUGCUGGAAAUGGACCUUGAAACACCACAUUAACAAUGUAUAGAGUGUAAUCCUGAUUAGUUUGGUGUUAUCCACAUUGAAAAAUAAGUGACUGCAAACUUUUGAACGGUAGUGUAUAUCUUAAGAAGAUCGAAAGGGUCUGUGACGUCAGGUCCUAAAUUACCACACGUCUCAAACCUGAUAAGGUUGCUCAGACAUCUUCUAAAAGGUGAGGAAAAGGCAAUCAAACCUCUCUAAAGAACGACACGUUUCUCUCCACUCGAUCUGAGUACUGCUGCUGGAUCUCUGGGUAGAACAUCUCAAUGACAUAGUCCAACAUCUGUCCUCGGAGCUCAUCGUGUCCAUAGCUGGGGCCCUGACGACCUGAGAAGUCAUCUGCCUUCUUAAAUAUCUCAAAAGAACCAAACCUGUUCAGAUAGCAGACAAGGGCAACAAUCAAAUCCAGAAAACUCAGAAACAUGAUAAACUCAAGCGCAUAAAUUACUCACCUUAAAAAGGUAGGUGCGAUCCUGAGAACCACUGAGCAUCUCUCAUGUUUAGGGUUUCCGCUGUAGUAGAUAUCCCUUACGACUUUGCUGUCUGAUGUAACAACAGAGCCUGCUCUUGUGGUGGGCACAUGCAGGAAAUACAUGGGCUCGCUGCAGAGGAACUCUCGAAUGCUAGAGCGCAACACCUUACGGCCAUCGGCUUGUCUAUUGAGAGAGAGCCACACUAUAUCAAGGAGCUGUUUGUUGCCAAAUGUAUCAUUUACAUAUUAUUGUCAACCCAAGACUCCACUGAGCAGUGAGGUUACAUACGCCUGAAUAAACUGUCAACAUGGAUUAAGAGGCUGACAUUUAUAUUGACAUUUGAGUAAUAGUACUUGAAUAUUACAUAAUUGCAAAUAAAAUGCACAAUAUAUCAGUUGCACGAUUGUGAUAUGCUAUGGAUGUCAUUAAAUUAUCUGGUACAAAUGCAAAAACACUUUUGUACCUGGAAUAGGGGGUAAGUCCAGCACCUUUCACCUGAAUCUCCCAUCGGCCACUUGGGUUUUCGUCGGGGUCCCGAUUGGGUGCCACGCUUACCUCCCCCAGGUAGCAGGCCGCCCCGUCACCCAACUGACCAGCGAAAUGGCCGAACUGGUGGCCACAGUAGCAAUGAGCAGCAGGCUCGGAUCCAGGCAUUACUUUAGAGCCGCUCAGAUAUUCUGGCGCAAGUGGGUCAUCCAUGACCUCAUCCCCGUUGAGCCCCAGGAGAGCCAAAGCUUCGUGAGACACCGCCACCAACCGAGGCUUGCUCAGUGGCUGCGGCAUGACCCUAGAGAAGCACGCUCCCUUCACCUGUCGCACGCCCGGCUCCUCUGAAGGGUCCACUGGAAGUUUCUUCAGGGCGACAUUGUCAAAGGGGAGUCGCUCCAGUGGUGAACGACUCAUGGCCAGACCCAUUUCGUCCAUACUGACCGAGGUUAGGGAUCGAAACAAGGACACACCUGUGCUAAAAAGACGGAACGUACCUGAUCUCAGUCGAUGUGCCACAAGAGCCAUCAAACUAAGGUCACGCUCAUUAGCCUGUUUCUUGGCUGGCGAAGUUAAUCGGAACGUUACUUCGUCAUGCUUUCAUAAUACGGAAGUAACAGCGGAUGUUUGUGUUCAGAUGGUGUUACAUUGUUAUUUGUCCGACAAGGAAAUGUAAAAAUGAUGGAACAAAAUGUUUUACGGUACUUUUAUUCCCUAUCCGAAGCAGAUAACGUUAUGAUCGUGUGGAUUAAAAACUUUUCUUUUAGAAAUAAUUUAUUAUUUAUGAAUUAUUUAUAUUUGCUUUUAACUGUACGAAAGCGAGAGAGACGUGGAUCUUUGGGGAGUGCCGGUUUACAGCAGAUGAGAGGAAUUUUGACGUGUUUUUAGUGAAUGGACAUGACAAAGAUCUGACAUUUUAUUGCUUAAUGUACAUUAAACAUAACGUUGCAGUGUCGUCGAUUUGAUUUUUUUUCUUUGCUAUUAUUCUAAAAGAUACGUCUACACAAGUGCAUGACGGUGGUAGGAUUACGCUUUGGGGUUGUUGUUUUUUCAACUGGGCCAUUAUUCAAGCGGUGGGCAAAUUAAAAAGGGGACAUGCAAGUUUGCAGAUGUGAGACAAUGAAAUUAUAUUAAGACCUUUAGUUUAUUCGAUAGCAAGUUCAAAUUAUCCAAUGGCAGCCCAAACAGAUAUGGCAGCCAUAGUUUGCAGUCUACUGAGAAGCGAUUGUACAGUAAUGAAAGUUGGACACAUUUCAAGACAAUUAUAACUGGAAGGGGAUAAGCAGUCGGUACAAAGAGCUGGUGACAUGCAUUUUAUUUAUUUUAGGAUUUAAAGAUAGCUUCCUGCACACGGAAAAAUCAGUCAUCAAUCACCCUUUCCCAGAGAUUGAGGUCCAAUUGACUGAUGCUAAAAUCUGGGCAAAUUAAAGUCCUGUAGGUUUAUUAGGAUUACAUUGAUUUAAAGAUUGCUUCCUGCACACUGAAAAAUCAGUCAUCGAUUAACCUUAACCAGAGAUUGAGGUCCAAUUGAUUGAUGCUAAAAUCUGGGCAAAUAAAAGUCCUGCAGGUUUGUAGUAAGGAUGACAUUGAUGAAUAUUAUUUAUUAAUACAUUACUCACCCUGAGAAUCAUAAGCCUUCACUGAAUCUAGGUGCCAUGGUAUUAAUUUGAUUGAAAUCAAUUAAUCAUAUAUUGAAAGUCUAGGUUUAAAAUAACUAUUUACAAAGUAUGCCCAUAGAACUUUAUAAAUUUGCACUGACCAUUUGAGGGUAAUACAGUAUGUUAAGAUGCAUAUACACUUCCUGAUGCAUUGAGAGGCACUUUCUAGCAGAGGCAGGACUGUGAACAUGGAAAACUUGUUAUGCCAACUAAAGUCUACAAAUACAUCCCAAGUAAAUAAUGGAGAUGGUAAGAAUUUAAUCACAAUCCACUGUAAAAGAAAAAAAAAAACAAGUAUGGUCAUUAAAUUAUUUUUCUAUUUGGCAUUAGCCUUCACUGUUUUUCCCAUUCAUCCAUCAAUUCAGUAGGCGGGUUACACCCUGAAUUGGUUGCCAUUGCAUUUUUAGGUGCUAUUUACAGCUAAGCCUUGAUUUUACACGGACUUUGGGUUCCAGAAUUUGGGAAUCACGUGAACCUCAAAAGCGUGUUAUUUAGAAAGUCUUGGAAAGGGAAAAAAAUUUAAAGCCAUGCAUACAAGUGUAUCGAGAAAUUGCAGUAGGGAAACACUAAGAUACCAGUGUUUGCAUUUGGGGAAUAACAUCAUUGU
Molecule: long non-coding RNA, 6820 nt
Organism: Syngnathus typhle (broad-nosed pipefish)
Lineage: Eukaryota; Metazoa; Chordata; Actinopteri; Syngnathiformes; Syngnathidae
Exons: 2
Source: RefSeq, a predicted model, not a curated record